CAGUCGCCGCGGGAAUACGGAGGGUGCAAGCGUUGUCCGGAUUUAUUGGGUUUAAAGGGUGCGUAGGCGGCCUAAUAAGUCAGUGGUGAAAGCCUCCAGCUUAACUGGAGAACUGCCAUUGAUACUGUUAGGCUUGAGUAUACUUGAGGUAGGCGGAAUUGACAGUGUAGCGGUGAAAUGCAUAGAUAUUGUCAAGAACACCAAUUGCGAAGGCAGCUUACUAAAUUAUAACUGACGCUGAGGCACGAAAGUGUGGGUAUCAAACAGGAUUAGAUACCCGCGUAGUCCCUGUCUCUUAUAC
This 301-nucleotide ribosomal RNA is filed under the name uncultured bacterium. Its description in RNAcentral is "partial 16S ribosomal RNA". It matches the Rfam family "Bacterial small subunit ribosomal RNA", at positions 509 to 807 of the family's 1533-position model. The record is from RNAcentral.